Molecule: ribosomal RNA, 495 nt
Filed under: uncultured bacterium
Lineage: Bacteria
Description: bacterial SSU rRNA
Rfam family: Bacterial small subunit ribosomal RNA
Source: RNAcentral
UGAACGCUAGCGACAGGCCUAACACAUGCAAGUCGAGGGGCAGCACAAGGAGCAAUCUGAGGUGGCGACCGGCGCACGGGUGAGUAACACGUAUGCAACCUGCCUGUAAGCGGGGAAUAACCCGUUGAAAGACGGACUAAUACCGCAUAAUACUAAAUUACUGCAUGGUAAUUUAUUUAAACAUUUAUGGCUUACAGAUGGGCAUGCGCAUGAUUAGCUAGUUGGAGAGGUAACGGCUCCCCAAGGCAACGAUCAUUAGGGGUUCUGAGAGGAAGGUCCCCCACACUGGUACUGAGACACGGACCAGACUCCUACGGGAGGCAGCAGUGAGGAAUAUUGGUCAAUGGACGAGAGUCUGAACCAGCCAAGUCGCGUGCAGGAAGAAUGUCCUUAAUGGAUUGUAAACUGCUUUUGCAGGGGAAUAAAGUGCAUCACGUGUGAUGUUUUGUAUGUACUCUGCGAAUAAGGAUCGGCUAACUCCGUGCCAGCCGCAGC